CGUAGGGGCGAAGCGUUAUCCGGAUUUACUGGGUGUAAAGGGAGCGUAGGUGGUAUGGUAAGUCAGGUGUGAAAGCCCGGGGCUCAACUCCGGGAUUGCAUUUGAAACUGCCAAACUAGAGUGCAGGAGAGGUAAGUGGAAUUCCUAGUGUAGCGGUGAAAUGCGUAGAUAUUAGGAGGAACACCAGUGGCGAAGGCGGCUUACUGGACUGUAACUGACACUGAGGCUCGAAAGCGUGGGGAGCAAACAGGAUU
This 254-nucleotide ribosomal RNA is filed under the name uncultured bacterium. Its description in RNAcentral is "partial 16S ribosomal RNA". It matches the Rfam family "Bacterial small subunit ribosomal RNA", at positions 526 to 779 of the family's 1533-position model. The record is from RNAcentral.